GCUUUUAAAGAUACUGUAAAAUCACCCGUGGAGCUGAGGUGGCAAUUCACCGAAUUCGAACCACUCUAACCAGCCGCAAGGUAAAAUCCCUGGAGAAGGUGUGUGCCCACUUGAUCAGAGGGACAAAAGAAAAGAAUCUCAAAGUGAAAGGACCAACUGGAAUGCCUACCAAGACUUUGAGAACCACUACAAGAGAAACUCCUUUUGGUGAAGGUUCUAAGACAUGGAAUCGUUUCCAGAUGAGAAUCCACAAGCAACUCACUGACUCGCGCAGUCCUUCUGAGAUUGCUAAGCAGAUGAC
RNAcentral lists this long non-coding RNA (301 nucleotides) under Homo sapiens (human). RNAcentral describes it as "non-protein coding lnc-XRCC2-6:1". The record is from RNAcentral. Lineage: Eukaryota; Metazoa; Chordata; Mammalia; Primates; Hominidae.